This 375-nucleotide ribosomal RNA is filed under the name uncultured bacterium. RNAcentral's name for it is "bacterial SSU rRNA". It matches the Rfam family "Bacterial small subunit ribosomal RNA", at positions 521 to 896 of the family's 1533-position model. The record is from RNAcentral.
UAAGACAGAGGUGGCAAGCGUUGUUCGGAAUUACUGGGCGUAAAGCGCAUGUAGGCGGCCCGGCAAGGCCCAUGUAAAAUCCUACCGCUCAACGGUGGAAGGACGUGGGCGACUGCCGAGCUAGAGGUUGGGAGAGGAGAGUGGAAUUCCCGGUGUAGCGGUGAAAUGCGUAGAUAUCGGGAGGAAGGCCGGUGGCGAAGGCGACUCUCUGGAACAAUUCUGACGCUGAGGUGCGAAAGCGUAGGGAGCGAACAGGAUUAGAUACCCUGGUAGUCCACGCCCUAAACGAUGGGCACUAAGUGUCGCCGCUAUUUGGCGGCGGUGCCGCAGCUAACGCAGUAAGUGCCCCGCCUGGGGAGUACGGCCGCAAGGUUG